Molecule: long non-coding RNA, 785 nt
Organism: Cyclopterus lumpus (lumpfish)
Lineage: Eukaryota; Metazoa; Chordata; Actinopteri; Perciformes; Cyclopteridae
Exons: 2
Source: RefSeq, a predicted model, not a curated record
GAGAGAGAGAGAGAGAGAGAGAGAGAGAGAGAGAGAGAGAACUCUAACAUUGAAAUAUACCAAUGAAAAGACACAAAUGUAUCAAGACAUUUUCUAUCUACUAUGGUAGCUACAACGUCAGAAUUUCAAAUAAUGCUGGUACAACGGUUCGACAAUAUGGCCGCCACGAACGUAACCACAACGAAGAGCUACGCUAACAUCACGGAGAACCGGCGGCCUGACAAAGAGCGACACGCUUAAACUGACUCACCUCAAAACUGUGCUUGACGAAGGACUUGGAGUAGAAAAAACGAUGAAACAGCACUUGCCCAGUUGCCAUUGCCACCUGUCGAUGAAAACACAAGAGCAUUACGUUUGGACUCGUGGGAGCAGGCCUAACCUUGCACAAUGGACCGCCGCCAUUUUAACUACACCACGCCAACAGUAGCAAACAGCUAACAGCAGGCCGCGAUGUGCUCGAGACCAGAAACGAAUAUAUACCUUUUCUCAGGGCAAAUAAAACGCACACCGACAUAUUUAGAUAUAUUACGAUUCAAGGAGAUGUACCUGCGGUAGCCGGAGAAGAAUGCCCGCGGACUGAAUCAGUUCACACCCAAGGAUGCGAAGGUCGGUCUCUGUGUUCAAGUCGAGGCCGUCGACCAUCGACGGCGUCGGCGAGAGCCUUUCCUCCGGGAUGAGAGAGUUGUCAAUCGUAAGGUACACCUCCGAGUAAACUUUGUCACCAAUAAGGAUGCCAUCGUUGUUCGUGGAUGCGUUGGACGAUACAGAAAGGGGACCCGCGGCCA